GAAAUGCGAUAAGUAGUGUGAAUUGCAGAAUUCAGUGAAUCAUCGAAUCUUUGAACGCACAUUGCGCCCCUCGGUAUUCCGUGGGGCAUGCCUGUUCGAGCGUCAUCUACACCCUCAAGCUCUGCUUGGUGUUGGGCGUCUGUCCCGCCUCCGCGCGCGGACUCGCCCCAAAUGCAUUGGCAGCGGUUCCUUGCCCCCCUCUUUGCGCAGCACAUUGCCCUUCGAGGCGGCGGCGGCCCGCGUCCAACAAGCUCAACCCCCCCGUCUUUGACCUCGGAUCAGGUAGGGAUACCCGCUGAACUUAAGC
This 307-nucleotide unclassified non-coding RNA is filed under the name plant metagenome. RNAcentral describes it as "partial contains 5.8S ribosomal RNA, internal transcribed spacer 2, and large subunit ribosomal RNA". The stretch from base 1 to 105 matches the Rfam family "5.8S ribosomal RNA", at positions 50 to 154 of the family's 154-position model. The record is from RNAcentral.